This is a small nuclear RNA of Mustela putorius furo (domestic ferret), 104 nucleotides long. Lineage: Eukaryota; Metazoa; Chordata; Mammalia; Carnivora; Mustelidae. The record is from Ensembl.
GGGCUCAGUUUGGCAGCUGCUGUACUAACAGUGGAACGAUCCAGAGAUUAGCAUGGCCUCUGGACCAGGAUGCCAGGCAAAUUCAUGAAGCGUCCCAUUGAGAA